Long non-coding RNA from Paramacrobiotus metropolitanus, 1970 nucleotides. RefSeq lists it as uncharacterized. The record is from RefSeq and is a predicted model, not a curated record. NCBI's taxonomy places the organism in Eukaryota, Metazoa, Tardigrada, Eutardigrada, Parachela, Macrobiotidae. The transcript has 3 exons.
UAUUUUUUUAACUUGAAAUUUUUAAUAGCUGCAUCAAUCUGGAAACAAACUAAUUCCAAAGCAAUUUUUAAAAAUAGAUGAAGUCUGGAUUGUUUAGCUGAAGCGUGCCAGUUCUCGGUGCAUAUCAAUAACUGUUUUCAAUAGAAUUUCGUUUCUAACCCCAAGAUCUCCACCCAAACCCCAUCGGAAACCGACGGUGUUGCCAGUAACCCUCCUAGCGCAGUUCAUUCUUCUCACAGCAACUUGAGUCGCAGUGUCCAGUCCCGUGAGAGACUAUCCUAUGUCUUAUCCAACAUCUGGUCCCGUCAAUUAUCCGGUGCAUCGGACAAACUCCAGCAUCCAAGCGGACAGCAAGAACAACGUAGAUACUGCGGCGAGAACGCGCCGUACAGUCUACGUUGUUCUUGCUGAAACGCUGCACUAUCUACGCUGUUUUUGAAACCCAGAUCGACGAAUUUUAUCUGGAGGACAUCUCUUUGGAACUGAAGAAAUCGCAACCGUAUCAGUCUACGAACAACCCGCAUCUACAACUUAUCCGGGAAUCUUCGCAAUCCACACUAACAGAAAAACGCAUCGUGGCGGAAUCAGUCUCCACUCUACGCACAUGUGAACGGCUUCUCAAGUUCCACCAAGCGGAGGUUCAGCAUUCGGCUUCUGAACAGAGCGUUCGAUCCGCGACCGCCAGAUCAUCAUUGCAGAGCCCAUGGCGCAGAAAUCCUGUCUGCAUGGUUUGUUCGGCAAAUCGACAAAACAGAAGUAUCCCAUUCCGUCAACAGUCCGGAAGUCAUGUCCACAUAAUCGUUAUUAUCGUCCGGCAGUGACAUGCUUCCGGUGUAUCGCUCACCCGCAUCAGAUGGCUUUGAUGCUAGCAGAGUACCGCGCGAUAAAGGUCAAGAACCUGUAAUUCUUCGCUAAAGCGGCACUGCCAGUGUCGUCUGCCAAUUUGGCGGCGGGUGAUCGUCGCGAUGGUCAUGCAGCUCAUGCCUUUUCCUUCGGAUAUGCUACCGACCUGCAAUGUUUUGCUGAGUCGUUUUGGAGGUCAUUUGGAUUUAUUUUAGGACGGGUUUAAACGACACUGUAACAUGUGCCAUCAGUUCCUCCGCCUCCCUCAGGUAACACGCUUCGAUCAGAAUUCGGGCAUGAGAUGCAGUUUCAGGACCACUUAAUGACCCGCAUCCGCUCUAGCGAAGAAACCAUUCAGCAUCUCUGUACCGUCCACGCGUUCGUCCUGACCGAGGCCCGCCGGGAUAUUUUCGAUUUCAACGACCCAUCGACCCGUUGCGGGAGGACGUAGUGACCCCGGAUGACCGGGACGUGUGUGCCGCGCAGCUGAAGGACAUUCUGUCUGCCAAGAAAGAAACCAGGCUGACUAGCUGCGUACGGAACAAUCCGGCCAUCUUGAUGAAGGACAUCCAUGCGCUGCUUCUAGAAUUGCGCUCCUUUAGAACAUCGUCAAAACCCUGCGCCACGCCGUUAAAAGCGUUGCAGUGUUUGUGGAGGAUACCGCACAUCUGUCGGCGCAAAGCCAGUAUGUGGCACGGCAGCCGACGUCCAUUCCUGAGAUAAAGUAUACGCUACGGGAAGCAUCUGCAACUGGAAAUUUAACAACACAUGCGUAUAACUGUAUAUCAGCCUCGUCCUACGUGCAUCUAUAGUGAUGUCCGAUAUUGCAAAGUGAUGAAACAUACCGGUAGGCCUUUUGCGCGCUAGCAAAAUUCGCUAUUAGUAGGGAAAAAAUCGCAAUAAAGGCUGUUUUUGCCACCUGUAAGCGGCAGCUGUGUGUGGGCGAAAUACCUUCGGGACUUUCUGAAAUGCAGGCCGUUAACGUAAAAACAAACACCUAACGGGCGGCCACCUCGCGGGAGGCGGCCAACUGGCAGGCGGGAUCUCUGCAAAUAUUCAAUUCUAAAUACUACCGCCUACGAGCAAGCUGUAAAUGUCGGUUGGGCGCAGUUGGGCGCAUAUUUAUA